Long non-coding RNA from Centruroides sculpturatus (bark scorpion), 997 nucleotides. RefSeq lists it as uncharacterized. The record is from RefSeq and is a predicted model, not a curated record. The transcript is spliced from 3 exons. Lineage: Eukaryota; Metazoa; Arthropoda; Arachnida; Scorpiones; Buthidae.
AAUUAAGUUAUAUAACGGACAAAAAACGAUUUGACAUGGCGCCAACUAUUUUAAAGUGAGUUUUGAUCAAUUUCCUCAUCGAAUAUUUCAAGAAAACUGCGUUUUCUCUACAGUAUUUCGUAUAGUGAAUGUAGAUAGAUUCAUAUCAAGUUCUCUAGAGAUCUGAAGAUCUAUAACUCGUAAAACACUCGUGUGAAUCCGAAGGGAGUUUCAGUUGGGUCCAAGAUCCCCAUAGCAAUUUAUUGCAAACAGUUUUCGUUUCUUCUCGAUAUAGCAUUCGAUCCUAAAGAAAAUUAUUCGAAAAAAUUCAAAUUAUUUUAAAAUUUUCAUAGAAAUUUUUAUAUAAUUUAAAAAAAUUUAUCAACUUCUUAUCGCGAAAUGUAGACUUAUAUAUCACAUUUAUUUUUAACCGCUUCAAAAUUAAUUUUAAAUCAUUUAUUUUACAGUAUUGUUGCAAUAUUGUUUCUUGCGCAAUUUAAUAUAAAUUGCAAAUUGAUUCGAGAUAUGUAUGCAAACAAUUAUUUACAGAGAAGAAGUUCUAUGUUUCAAAAUUGUGACAUUGGCGACUCGAAGACCACAAGACCGAUCUAAUUGAUUAUUCAGACAAUUGUGCAAACGUCAGAUCGAUAAAUAAAUCAAGGUCGUUACUAUAUAAACCAAUUAAAAUGAAUCAUUUUCGAUUGUUUACGGGGUUAUUUCGUUUCUUAUCGUAAACGUUAUCGCAACGUGGAGAUAGAGCGCUAUUUAUCUCGACAAAUUUGAUAGUUCUGUAAUUGUCUGCAACUACUCUGUCAAGCGAGAACUUACCUUCUGUACAUGUAUUUUUAACAAAGAAAUCUUGUAGUGCAUCCCUUUCACAGAUAAUGAAAGCUUCAAAUUUUGUUACAUUUCUUGUGAUAGUCGCAUUCGUUGUUGGUUUCUGUCCAUGUUUAAUAUCAAGUGCCCCUUCUUCGGAUAACGGAUUCAGAAGUGAAUUGUGUAAAGUAUUAUGCAAUAA